Molecule: non-coding RNA, 1264 nt
Organism: Danio rerio (zebrafish)
Lineage: Eukaryota; Metazoa; Chordata; Actinopteri; Cypriniformes; Danionidae
Source: RefSeq, a predicted model, not a curated record
UUACAUAAAAUAAGAUUGAUGUAUUGCAUUACAUCAAAACAAAAUGGCCAAAGAGUUGUUUUAAUUGAGCCUGCGUUUCUAAAAGCUUCUUUUCUGACCUCUUCCAGUGUCUAAAUUGGUGUUUCCUAUUAACUGAUCGAUGUGGAUGUCAUUUAAUAACAGAAAAUACCCGCAUAAUAUAACUAAACUAUCGGAAAGGUUAGAAAGAGCUUUACUCUGUAAAUUCUGUGACAAUUAAACCAUUUAAUUAUGCUUAGGAAACUAUGAAAUUGCAUAGCUGGACUGGAGUCAGCAUGUCAAACAUGUAACCUAACCUCCUAAAGCAGAAACGCGACGCACACGUAUGACGUCACACCGCAAAGCCAAAACAAACCUGUUCAGAGUGCACUGUAUGCACUUCAGAGGAAUUUGAGGUUGCAGCGAUUUUGGGGCUACUAAUGAAAGAACAUCUAAGCAAAACUUGAACUGAUUGUGUUGACGCCAUUUAAACUGUAAACAGUUUGUUAAAAGCGCUGAAAUAAAAAGCAUAUAUAUCAGAAUAAACGAUAGCUGAAUUACACUGUGUAAUAUUCUACGAGCUCUUGGAAGUUUUAGACAACAAAAUAUAAAGAGGACUUUUAUUUUGACGCGGGCGUGUGACGCCGUGUGUGCGCCGCGCUCGUGCAUUUGUUUUGAUCUGGCUGAAGCGCGUGUGCUUCAGUGUUUCAGCUUUAUAUUAAUAUAGACCGUUUAAUAGUUUAAAUUGAGCGAUGAAUAUUGGUUGAGUAUACAUUAGCGCUGAAAUACAUUCAUUUACACCGCGUUCAACUUUUAUAGCGCGUUGUAUUUGUCCUCUUAGUUUUAUCAUUUACCGUUUGUCUAAUCAAAUUAGGUUUGUCAUAAAUGCUUGAAUUCAUCUUAAUACACUGCCUUCUGUUUAUAUGGUUAACAUUUAUUCAUGAUGAAGAAUUAUUUAAUAAGCUGCCCACGUGAAAAAUAUAAACAGUAUAAUGAUUUUUCAAUCGUACUAUAUAUAUAUAUAUAACGGAGUUAAAAUAAUGGUUAAAAUAAUGGUUCAACUAGGAACACUCACUAUUGGUUUUGGCAUUACCUGAAGUCGCGUCCAUCACAGUAGGGGGCGGUGCUACAUAGCAUAGUUCACCAGCAGCAGCAGCAGCAGUCCCGAGAAGUCUCUGCUGACACCAAUAUCAUAAGAGCUGCAGACGAACUAAACCUAUGGUGCUGUGUUUGUGUCAGACACCGUGAGAAUCAGCUUCUCCCCGUU